This 334-nucleotide long non-coding RNA is filed under the name Ananas comosus (pineapple). RNAcentral's name for it is "long non-coding RNA (ACOM_LNC006809)". Lineage: Eukaryota; Viridiplantae; Streptophyta; Magnoliopsida; Poales; Bromeliaceae. The record is from RNAcentral.
AUCAUUUUACCCUUUUCUCCGCUCCGAAGAUGAUGCAACCGGCGGGAGGUAUGGUUCAGCCCCCAAUGGGGAUGGAUCAACAGCACCAUCAGCAGCAGCCGCAGCAGUGGGCGGCGGUGAUGGCGCCGCCGCCUCCGCCGCCGCAGCAGCAGUACUAUCAGGCGCCGUCGGCGGCGGGGGCGCCGCCGCCGCCGAUGUGGAACCAGCAGCCGUCCAUGGUGCCGCCACCGGUGGUGCCCCAGCAGAUGGGGCCGCCGCCUCCGCAGCAGCAGUACCAGGCGUCCGCCGCCGCAGCUGUUGCGGCGCCGCUGCAGCCCGGUUCGGCAGAUGAGAU